Molecule: ribosomal RNA, 497 nt
Filed under: uncultured bacterium
Lineage: Bacteria
Description: partial 16S ribosomal RNA
Rfam family: Bacterial small subunit ribosomal RNA
Source: RNAcentral
GAUGAACGCUGGCGGCGUGCCUAAUACAUGCAAGUCGAGCGAACGGACGAGAAGCUUGCUCCUCUGAUGUUAGCGGCGGACGGGUGAGUAACACGUGGAUAACCUACCUAUAAGACUGGGAUAACUUCGGGAAACCGUAGCUAAUACCGGAUAAUAUUUUGAACCGCAUGGUUCAAAAGUGAAAGACGGUCUUGCUGUCACUUAUAGAUGGAUCCGCGCUGCAUUAGCUAGUUGGUAAGGUAACGGCUUACCAAGGCAACGAUGCAUAGCCGACCUGAGAGGGUAAUCGGCCACACUGGAACUGAGACACGGUCCAGACUCCUACGGGAGGCAGCAGUAGGGAAUCUUCCGCAAUGGGCGAAAGCCUGACGGAGCAACGCCGCGUGAGUGAUGAAGGUCUUCGGAUCGUAAAACUCUGUUAUUAGGGAAGAACAUAUGUGUAAGUAACUGUGCACAUCUUGACGGUACCUAAUCAGAAAGCCACGGCUAACUACGUG